This 473-nucleotide ribosomal RNA is filed under the name uncultured organism. RNAcentral describes it as "partial 16S ribosomal RNA". It matches the Rfam family "Bacterial small subunit ribosomal RNA", at positions 331 to 800 of the family's 1533-position model. The record is from RNAcentral.
GUACACUCCUGCGGGAGGCAGCAGUGAGGAAUAUUGGACAAUGGGUGGAAGCCUGAUCCAGCCAUCCCGCGUGCAGGAAGACGGCCCUAUGGGUUGUAAACUGCUUUUAUCUGGGGAUAAACCUACUUACGUGUAAGUAGCUGAAGGUACCAGAAGAAUAAGCACCGGCUAACUCCGUGCCAGCAGCCGCGGUAAUACGGAGGGUGCAAGCGUUAUCCGGAUUUAUUGGGUUUAAAGGGUCCGUAGGCGGACUGAUAAGUCAGUGGUGAAAUCCGACAGCUUAACUGUCGAACUGCCAUUGAUACUGUUAGUCUUGAGUAAGGUUGAAGUGGCUGGAAUAAGUAGUGUAGCGGUGAAAUGCAUAGAUAUUACUUAGAACACCAAUUGCGAAGGCAGGUCACUAAGUCUUAACUGACGCUGAUGGACGAAAGCGUGGGGAGCGAACAGGAUUAGAAACCCGAGUAGUCCCAUGA